GGCGAACGGGUGAGUAACACGUGGGUGACCUGCCCUCAGCUCUGGGAUAAGCCUGGGAAACUGGGUCUAAUACCGGAUAUGACCUUCCAUCGCAUGGUGGUUGGUGGAAAGUUUUUCGGCUGAGGAUGGGCCCGCGGCCUAUCAGCUUGUUGGUGGGGUGAUGGCCUACCAAGGCGACGACGGGUAGCCGGCCUGAGAGGGCGACCGGCCACACUGGGACUGAGACACGGCCCAGACUCCUACGGGAGGCAGCAGUGGGGAAUAUUGCGCAAUGGGCGAAAGCCUGGCGCAGCGACGCCGCGUGGGGGAUGACGGCCUUCGGGUUGUAAACCUCUUUCGACCGGGACGAAGAGAAAUUGACGGUACCGGUAGAAGAAGCACCGGCCAACUACGUGCCAGCAGCCGCGGUAAUACGUAGGGUGCGAGCGUUGUCCGGAAUUAUUGGGCGUAAAGAGCUCGUAGGCGGUGUGUCACGUCGGCCGUGAAAACUUGGGGCUUAACCCUGAGCUUGCGGUCGAUACGGGCAUCACUAGAGUUCGGCAGGGGAGACUGGAAUUCCUGGUGUAGCGGUGAAAUGCGCAGAUAUCAGGAGGAACACCGGUG
RNAcentral lists this ribosomal RNA (603 nucleotides) under uncultured bacterium. Its description in RNAcentral is "bacterial SSU rRNA". It matches the Rfam family "Bacterial small subunit ribosomal RNA", at positions 97 to 714 of the family's 1533-position model. The record is from RNAcentral.